Molecule: ribosomal RNA, 693 nt
Filed under: uncultured Sporocytophaga sp.
Lineage: Bacteria; Pseudomonadati; Bacteroidota; Cytophagia; Cytophagales; Cytophagaceae
Description: SSU rRNA
Rfam family: Bacterial small subunit ribosomal RNA
Source: RNAcentral
AUCACUUUUUUACUAAAGUUCCAACGGUACAAGAUGAGCAUGCGUCCCAUAAGCUAGUUGGUAUGGUAACGGCAUACCAAGGCUAUGAUGGGUAGGGGUCCUGAGAGGGAGAUCCCCCACACUGGUACUGAGACACGGACCAGACUCNUACGGGAGGCAGCAGUGAGGAAUAUUGGUCAAUGGUCGCAAGACUGAACCAGCCAUGCCGCGUGCAGGAAGACGGUCCUAUGGAUUGUAAACUGCUUUUAUACAGGAAGAAACCCUCUCACGUGUGGGAGCUUGACGGUACUGUAUGAAUAAGCAUCGGCUAACUCCGUGCCAGCAGCCGCGGUAAUACGGAGGAUGCGAGCGUUAUCCGGAAUCAUUGGGUUUAAAGGGUCCGUAGGCGGUUUAAUAAGUCAGUGGUGAAAUCAGGUCGCUCAACGAUCAAACUGCCAUUGAUACUGUUAGACUUGAAUAAUUGUGAAGUAACUAGAAUAUGUAGUGUAGCGGUGAAAUGCUUAGAUAUUACAUGGAAUACCAAUUGCGAAGGCAGGUUACUAACAAUUUAUUGACGCUGAUGGACGAAAGCGUGGGGAGCGAACAGGAUUAAAUACCCUGGUAGUCCACGCCGUAAACGAUGGAUACUAGCUGUUCGGCGCAAGUUGAGUGGCUAAGCGAAAGUGAUAAGUAUCCCACCUGGGGAGUACGCAC